UGUGGGAGCUGGCUUGCCUGCGAUGGCGGUGGCUCAGUUGGCAUCUCAUCCACAGGCAGACCGCUAUCGCAGGCAAGCCAGCUCCCACA
This 89-nucleotide non-coding RNA is filed under the name Pseudomonas tolaasii NCPPB 2192. Lineage: Bacteria; Pseudomonadati; Pseudomonadota; Gammaproteobacteria; Pseudomonadales; Pseudomonadaceae. The record is from RNAcentral.